GUGAACUGCGGCUGCUGUUUGGAGCUCGAGAUGGUGCUGGCUCCGAACACCAGAUCAACCAUCAAGGCUUCUCUGCUGAGGUGGCGACCCCUAACCUGACCCUCCACACUAGAUCACCCUGGUUUCUUAGCUUACGGUUCGCCCCAUCCUUCUACACAGGGCUGCCUCUCCCUACCCUAUGUACUAAUCCCUGGUGCAGUCCUGGACACCGAAGGCCUGAGAGUUGAAACCAUCCAUCCUCUCUGGCCCUUCCGCUAAGGAGCCCUUCUCUGUGCUUCCUCUUCCUCCCCAGGUGCAGCUAAUCCACUUCAACCAAGAACUCUAUGGGAAUCUCAGUGCUGCCUCAAGGGGCCCCAAUGGCCUGGCCAUUCUCAGCCUCUUUGUCAACGUGAGGGAGGCAUGAUGGGCAAC
This 411-nucleotide long non-coding RNA is filed under the name Rattus norvegicus (Norway rat). Its description in RNAcentral is "long non-coding RNA NONRATT000708". Lineage: Eukaryota; Metazoa; Chordata; Mammalia; Rodentia; Muridae. The record is from RNAcentral.